RNAcentral lists this long non-coding RNA (168 nucleotides) under Aotus nancymaae (Ma's night monkey). RNAcentral's name for it is "Pvt1 onco conserved region 4 (ENSANAG00000012786.1)". It matches the Rfam family "Pvt1 oncogene conserved region 4". The record is from RNAcentral. Lineage: Eukaryota; Metazoa; Chordata; Mammalia; Primates; Aotidae.
CUGAAAACACUCCCUGGGACUUCUCCCACAGUGCCCGGGCAUCCUUGGCACAUGCAGUCAUCAUGAUGGCACUUUAAGUGGAGGCUGAAUCAUCUCUCCUUUGAGCUGCACAGAACAUGGCUCCCCUGGUGUUCCCAUUUUACCUCCGGGACACUGAGAUUUGGAGCG